UCCCUGGUGGCUCAGACGGUAAAGCAUCUGCUUGCAAUGUGGGAGACCCGGGUUUGAUUCCUGGGUCGGGAA
Molecule: transfer RNA, 72 nt
Filed under: Bos taurus (domestic cattle)
Lineage: Eukaryota; Metazoa; Chordata; Mammalia; Artiodactyla; Bovidae
Also listed under: 1 other name
Rfam family: tRNA
About the family: Transfer RNA (tRNA) molecules are approximately 80 nucleotides in length. Their secondary structure includes four short double-helical elements and three loops (D, anti-codon, and T loops). Further hydrogen bonds mediate the characteristic L-shaped molecular structure. tRNAs have two regions of fundamental functional importance: the anti-codon, which is responsible for specific mRNA codon recognition, and the 3' end, to which the tRNAs corresponding amino acid is attached (by aminoacyl-tRNA synthetases). tRNAs cope with the degeneracy of the genetic code in two manners: having more than one tRNA (with a specific anti-codon) for a particular amino acid; and 'wobble' base-pairing, i.e. permitting non-standard base-pairing at the 3rd anti-codon position.
Source: Rfam by way of RNAcentral